CUACGGGAUGCUCCAGUGAGGAAUAUUGCACAAUGGGCGAAAGCCUGACGCAGCGACGCCGCGUGUGUGAAGAAGGCCUUAGGGUCGUAAAGCACUGUCGAAUGGGAAAAACGACCAUUAGUAUAAUACGCUAGUGGAGUGAUGGUACCAUUAGAGGAAGCACCGGCUAACUCCGUGCCAGCAGCCGCGGUAAUACGGAGGGUGCAAGCGUUGUUCGGAAUUAUUGGGCGUAAAGGGCAGGUAGGUGGUCUAUCAAGUCUACUGUGAAAUCCCCGGGCUUAACCCGGGAAGUGCAGUGGAUACUGGUAGACUAGAGUGCCGGAGGGGCUCGUGGAAUUCCUGGUGUAGCGGUGAAAUGCGUAGAUAUCAGGAGGAACAUCAGAGGCGAAAGCGACGAGCUGGACGGUAACUGACACUAAACUGCGAAAGCGUGGGGAGCAAACAGGAUUAGAUACCCUGGUAGUC
This 465-nucleotide ribosomal RNA is filed under the name uncultured bacterium. RNAcentral describes it as "partial 16S ribosomal RNA". It matches the Rfam family "Bacterial small subunit ribosomal RNA", at positions 339 to 795 of the family's 1533-position model. The record is from RNAcentral.